Podarcis raffonei (Aeolian wall lizard) is the source of this 959-nucleotide long non-coding RNA. RefSeq lists it as uncharacterized. NCBI's taxonomy places the organism in Eukaryota, Metazoa, Chordata, Lepidosauria, Squamata, Lacertidae. The record is from RefSeq and is a predicted model, not a curated record. The transcript is spliced from 5 exons.
UCCAGACCUGCCACGCAGCUGCGAUGAAAGGCCUCUGCAGUAUUCAGUGCUCCAAGCUGUGGACGACGGAAGGAGAACAUCCUGGGGCACCUGGAGCGCUUUGAAGAUCUCCCCCUGAUUUUGCCCUUGACCCUGGAGGCUCUUUUCCAGCUGACGUGAACGGGAACUGCCAGGCUCCCUCAAGCACCCUCAAGCGCUCCAAGCACCCUAAGGCUGAAACCAUUCUGCUGCAUAUUCCUGCAGUGUAGGUGGGGUUGGACUAGAUGAUCCUUAGGGUCCCUUCCAAGUCUACAAUUCUAUGAUUCAACAAGUGUCUCGUCAGCCACACUUUAUGACUCCUUUCAUGAGCCAGGUUGGACUGCUUUUGUAUUGUGAACUCUUUUAAAGUGUCUCUGUGGGAGCAACCAGUAGCUGAGGAGGAAGAAGAAAGGGGCAGUAAGAGAUGCGGAGGGAAUGAAUAAAGCUCUCUCUGAGAAUUGUUUAUUUCUUAUGGUUGGAAGGGUAGACAAGAAAACAGGGUGCCUGUACCCUAGCUUUAACUGCCUUGUCUCAUACACAAAUGUGGAAAGUUAAUCCCUCUCCUAAACUAAUUCCACUAUUUUGAGGACAUAAGCUUUGUCCGGCUGAUUUUUUUCAGAUAAGUACUUUUUAAAACUAAUAAUCUGUUGGCAUCCAUCCGUCUUGAGAGACAAUGGAGUGUGCCUCUGGAGGUGAAGCCAAACUGCUGCACUAGGAACACCAAGCCAGCGCGCAAGCCUGGGCAGUGCGUAUGGAGGUCCUAGGCUGCCCAGAUGACAAGACUCAGCCAUUUACCUUCCCGCUGGAGUGCUGUAAUCCACAACACCUCACUAGCAACAGGCAACACAGCAAUGUUUGGAAAAGGAGAUUGCUGGAACCUGCUGCUCUGUUUAUCAGGUUCAAACCGUUAAAAAAUAAAUAAAUUAAAGUUUUCCAUAUUA